AAUCACUUGUCUUUUAAAUGAAGACCUGUAUGAAUGGCAUCACGAGGGCUUAACUGUCUCCCCUCUCCAGUCAAUGAAAUUGACCUCCCCGUGCAGAGGCGGGGAUAUUUAUAUAAGACGAGAAGACCCUGUGGAGCUUUAGACCUAAAGUAAACCACGUUUAAUGUACUAAAAUUAAUAGCAAAAACUUAGUGGACAUUUAUUUAAGUGUCUUUGGUUGGGGCGACCGCGGAGUAAAACAUAACCUCCAUGUGGAUGGGGAUACUUUCCCUGAAACUCAGAGCCUCCACUCCAAGCAACAGAAAUUCUGACCUUACUGAUCCGGUACAACCGAUUAACGAACCCAGUUACCCCAGGGAUAACAGCGCAAUCCCCUCUCAGAGCUCAUAUCGACGAGGGGGUUUACGACCUCGAUGUUGGAUCAGGACAUCCUAGUGGUGCAGCCGCUA
Molecule: ribosomal RNA, 449 nt
Filed under: Merluccius productus (North Pacific hake)
Lineage: Eukaryota; Metazoa; Chordata; Actinopteri; Gadiformes; Merlucciidae
Description: partial 16S ribosomal RNA
Rfam family: Bacterial large subunit ribosomal RNA
Source: RNAcentral